AGUGAACGCUGGCGGUAGGCCUAACACAUGCAAGUCGAACGGCAGCACAGUAAGAGCUUGCUCUUACGGGUGGCGAGUGGCGGACGGGUGAGGAAUACAUCGGAAUCUACUUUUUCGUGGGGGAUAACGUAGGGAAACUUACGCUAAUACCGCAUACGACCUACGGGUGAAAGCAGGGGAUCUUCGCACCUUGCGCGAUUGAAUGAGCCGAUGUCGGAUUAGCUAGUUGGCGGGGUAAAGGCCCACCAAGGCGACGAUCCGUAGCUGGUCUGAGAGGAUGAUCAGCCACACUGGAACUGAGACACGGUCCAGAGUCCUACGGGAGGCAGCAGUGGGGAAUAGUGGACAAUGGGCGCAAGCCUGAUCCAGCCAUACCGCGUGGGUGAAGAAGGCCUUCGGGUUGCAAAGCCCGUUUGUUGGGAAAGAAAAGCAGCAGGUUAAGACCCCGCUGUUCUGACGGUACCCAAAGAAUAAGCACCGGCUAACUUCGUG
Molecule: ribosomal RNA, 492 nt
Filed under: uncultured bacterium
Lineage: Bacteria
Description: partial 16S ribosomal RNA
Rfam family: Bacterial small subunit ribosomal RNA
Source: RNAcentral